AGAGUUUGAUCCUGGCUCAGGACGAACGCUGGCGGCGUGCUUAACACAUGCAAGUCGAACGGAAAGGUCUCUUCGGAGAUACUCGAGUGGCGAACGGGUGAGUAACACGUGGGUAAUCUGCCCUGCACUUUGGGAUAAGCCUGGGAAACUGGGUCUAAUACCGGAUAGGACCUCGAGGCGCAUGCCUUGUGGUGGAAAGC
RNAcentral lists this ribosomal RNA (200 nucleotides) under uncultured bacterium. RNAcentral describes it as "partial 16S ribosomal RNA". It matches the Rfam family "Bacterial small subunit ribosomal RNA", at positions 8 to 208 of the family's 1533-position model. The record is from RNAcentral.